UGAGGAAUAUUGGUCAAUGGGCGCAGGCCUGAACCAGCCAAGUAGCGUGAAGGAUGACUGCCCUCUGGGUUGUAAACUUCUUUUAUAUGGGAAUAAAGUUUUCCACGUGUGGAAUUUUGUAUGUACCAUAUGAAUAAGGAUCGGCUAACCCCGUGCCAGCAGCCGCGGUAAUACGGAGGAUCCGAGCGUUAUCCGGAUUUAUUGGGUUUAAAGGGAGCGUAGGUGGACAGUUAAGUCAGUUGUGAAAGUUUGCGGCUCAACCGUAAAAUUGCAGUUGAUACUGGCUGUCUUGAGUACAGUAGAGGUGGGCGGAAUUCGUGGUGUAGCGGUGAAAUGCUUAGAUAUCACGAAGAACUCCGAUUGCGAAGGCAGCUCACUGGACUGCAACUGACACUGAUGCACGAAAGUGUGGGUAUCAAACAGG
This 424-nucleotide ribosomal RNA is filed under the name Acidobacteriota bacterium. RNAcentral's name for it is "Acidobacteria bacterium partial 16S ribosomal RNA". It matches the Rfam family "Bacterial small subunit ribosomal RNA", at positions 355 to 776 of the family's 1533-position model. Lineage: Bacteria; Pseudomonadati; Acidobacteriota. The record is from RNAcentral.